This 1564-nucleotide ribosomal RNA is filed under the name Ligilactobacillus murinus. RNAcentral describes it as "16S ribosomal RNA". It matches the Rfam family "Bacterial small subunit ribosomal RNA". Lineage: Bacteria; Bacillati; Bacillota; Bacilli; Lactobacillales; Lactobacillaceae. The record is from RNAcentral.
UAAAUUGAGAGUUUGAUCCUGGCUCAGGAUGAACGCUGGCGGCGUGCCUAAUACAUGCAAGUCGAACGAAACUUCUUUAUCACCGAGUGCUUGCACUCACCGAUAAAGAGUUGAGUGGCGAACGGGUGAGUAACACGUGGGCAACCUGCCCAAAAGAGGGGGAUAACACUUGGAAACAGGUGCUAAUACCGCAUAACCAUAGUUACCGCAUGGUAACUAUGUAAAAGGUGGCUAUGCUACCGCUUUUGGAUGGGCCCGCGGCGCAUUAGCUAGUUGGUGGGGUAAAGGCUUACCAAGGCAAUGAUGCGUAGCCGAACUGAGAGGUUGAUCGGCCACAUUGGGACUGAGACACGGCCCAAACUCCUACGGGAGGCAGCAGUAGGGAAUCUUCCACAAUGGGCGAAAGCCUGAUGGAGCAACGCCGCGUGGGUGAAGAAGGUCUUCGGAUCGUAAAACCCUGUUGUUAGAGAAGAAAGUGCGUGAGAGUAACUGUUCACGUUUCGACGGUAUCUAACCAGAAAGCCACGGCUAACUACGUGCCAGCAGCCGCGGUAAUACGUAGGUGGCAAGCGUUAUCCGGAUUUAUUGGGCGUAAAGGGAACGCAGGCGGUCUUUUAAGUCUGAUGUGAAAGCCUUCGGCUUAACCGGAGUAGUGCAUUGGAAACUGGGAGACUUGAGUGCAGAAGAGGAGAGUGGAACUCCAUGUGUAGCGGUGAAAUGCGUAGAUAUAUGGAAGAACACCAGUGGCGAAAGCGGCUCUCUGGUCUGUAACUGACGCUGAGGUUCGAAAGCGUGGGUAGCAAACAGGAUUAGAUACCCUGGUAGUCCACGCCGUAAACGAUGAAUGCUAAGUGUUGGAGGGUUUCCGCCCUUCAGUGCUGCAGCUAACGCAAUAAGCAUUCCGCCUGGGGAGUACGACCGCAAGGUUGAAACUCAAAGGAAUUGACGGGGGCCCGCACAAGCGGUGGAGCAUGUGGUUUAAUUCGAAGCAACGCGAAGAACCUUACCAGGUCUUGACAUCUUUUGCCAAUCCUAGAGAUAGGACUUUCCCUUCGGGGACAAAAUGACAGGUGGUGCAUGGUUGUCGUCAGCUCGUGUCGUGAGAUGUUGGGUUAAGUCCCGCAACGAGCGCAACCCUUAUUGUUAGUUGCCAGCAUUAAGUUGGGCACUCUAGCAAGACUGCCGGUGACAAACCGGAGGAAGGUGGGGAUGACGUCAAAUCAUCAUGCCCCUUAUGACCUGGGCUACACACGUGCUACAAUGGACGGUACAACGAGUCGCAAGACCGCGAGGUUUAGCAAAUCUCUUAAAGCCGUUCUCAGUUCGGAUUGUAGGCUGCAACUCGCCUACAUGAAGUCGGAAUCGCUAGUAAUCGCGGAUCAGCAUGCCGCGGUGAAUACGUUCCCGGGCCUUGUACACACCGCCCGUCACACCAUGAGAGUUUGUAACACCCAAAGCCGGUGGGGUAACCUUUUGGAGCCAGCCGUCUAAGGUGGGACAGAUGAUUAGGGUGAAGUCGUAACAAGGUAGCCGUAGGAGAACCUGCGGCUGGAUCACCUCCUUU